Molecule: ribosomal RNA, 405 nt
Filed under: uncultured bacterium
Lineage: Bacteria
Description: bacterial SSU rRNA
Rfam family: Bacterial small subunit ribosomal RNA
Source: RNAcentral
GUGGGGAAUAUUGGGCAAUGGGCGCAAGCCUGACCCAGCAACGCCGCGUGAAGGAAGAAGGCUUUCGGGUUGUAAACUUCUUUUCUGAGGGACGAUAGUGACGGUACCUCAGGAAUAAGCCACGGCUAACUACGUGCCAGCAGCCGCGGUAAUACGUAGGUGGCAAGCGUUAUCCGGAUUUACUGGGUGUAAAGGGCGUGUAGGCGGGACUGCAAGUCAGAUGUGAAAACCAGAGGCUCAACCUCUGGCCUGCAUUUGAAACUGUAGUUCUUGAGUGUUGGAGAGGCAGGCGGAAUUCCGUGUGUAGCGGUGAAAUGCGUAGAUAUACGGAGGAACACCAGUGGCGAAGGCGGCCUGCUGGACAAUAACUGACGCUGAGGCGCGAAAGCGUGGGGAGCAAACAGG